This 1772-nucleotide long non-coding RNA is filed under the name Homo sapiens (human). Its description in RNAcentral is "HSALNT0210443". The record is from RNAcentral. Lineage: Eukaryota; Metazoa; Chordata; Mammalia; Primates; Hominidae.
CAUGUGAAAGGGUGCCCUUCUACAUGCCGUAAGAGUCAGGGUUCUGGAAAAAAAAUCGUAAGUCUUCCAUCAUAUGUAGAAUCACAUAUACUACGUGUAAGUCACUAACCCAUGAACAGAUAAAAUAAUGAGUUUGAGAACACUUUGAAAAUGAUAAAUCAUUAUGUAAAUGCUGUGUGUGUAUGAAUGUAAGCAUAAGCAUGGGCUUGAAGUAAUAUUAUUAGAGAAAGUAGAAAUAACUUGAUGCUCAUUUCCAAACUUGGCACAUGUGCAUUGUAACAGACAUCAUGAUUUUCAACAUUCUUCUUUUUCUUUCUCUAAUAAUAGGAAGCAUAUCAGUAAAGAGUGCUCUUUAAUGCUUGCUAUACUCUAGGAAAUUAUUUAAGUGCUUUUCACAGAUUAUCUCAUUUGAGCCUCCCAUGAAUCCUGUAAAAUACCAUAUUAUUACUGUAGCUAUUAUGCCUAUUUUACAGGAGAAAAAAACUGAGUUGUAGGAACAUUAAAUAAGUUGAUUAAAAUUACUUAAUGAGAAAGUGCUAGAGUAAAAGUGUGAGCAGAAGCACUCUGAGACAGGAAUUUGCUUGUUGAAAUAUGUCUUAAAGUAAAAUUUACUGUAAACUAACCUACAUUAUGUGACUUCACAUAACACAGGAAGGAGAAAGUGGACAGAGAAGCCAAGAUGUAAAUAGUCACUGAAAAGGAAAGAGGAGAAAGCAAGAAGAACAUGAGGUAAAAUAUUUGCAAAUGUGUUUAUUGCAACUCCUUUUCAAACUUACUUUAUUUGAACACUUUAUUUUCACUUUCUAGAUUUUAUGUCUCUACCAAAUGAAUUUGAUUACAAAAUUUUCCUUUUGUCUCUCUUGUACUGAUGUGAGCACUCAUUUAACUAAUUUCAUUUUAACUACAUUAUCCAUAUCUAUUCAUAUUGUCCCCAUCUAUGUGACUUCAUUGUCUAUGAUUCUGUUCUAUAAACUCUGCAAUUCUGUUCUUUGAUCCACUGCAUGUAUCUGACAGUUGGACAUUCUUCUCAUUCUAUCUACGUUUUCUGUAUUGGGCAUGCAAGCUGAACCUAUUCUCAGGAAAAUUAUGAAAUGAAUGUAGUCUUUCAAGUCCUAUACAUCUUCUUUUAGCAUGCUUCUGCUUCUUUUUCCUAGUGCUUUCUGGUAAGUUAUCUCAGCCUAUUAUUAUAGUUAUUGGGAAGAUUUUGAUCGGAUAAAAUGUACCCCAUAUUAUUAGGGACUAAUAUAUUUCUCUUAUGAAAGUAUUUGUAGUUUAAAGGAAUACUAAAUGGAAAAAAGUAGCACUAAGGAUGAAGGAAUGGAUAACUGAAUGGCAAACUGCAGAAUAAUUGCAUCAUAUUCUAGAGUGGGGGGACUAAUUCAGAAUGGGUACCCUUCCAGCACCCCCAGAUAUGACUGCAUUGGAAAAAGCCUUUUGGAUACAUUCAAAAUCUCAGUCUUGUACAAGAUAUUACCAAAAUCUGAAAAAAGAAAGAUGUAUGUUUCUUUCAUUAAAAAUUUACAACAGACAUUGUAGUACUUAUUUUUCAUUUACUUAAUAAUUAUUAUUUGGCUGCCAUAUAUUAGCACCAUACCAUCCUUAUAUUUUGGACUCAACAGCCUGUUAAAUUGUGUUAGUUUUGAAAAUUAAAAAAUGUAAUUCAAAGCAGAAACAAGUUAAAAUAAUAAAAAUUAACAGUCCUCUCUAUUCAAUACUGUUCCCAAUUUUGAAAAUUAAUUUGUUUCUUAUUAUUUUGUUCCAUUCGUAAGAAU